Molecule: long non-coding RNA, 298 nt
Filed under: Manihot esculenta (cassava)
Lineage: Eukaryota; Viridiplantae; Streptophyta; Magnoliopsida; Malpighiales; Euphorbiaceae
Description: long non-coding RNA (MESC_LNC006605)
Source: RNAcentral
UGAUAAUCAUAAUAAUUAAAUUUGGUCACUUGUCCAUUGGUCAAAGAAAUGUCUUUACUUUUGUGAGGCUCUUGUCCCCAAUCUGAGAUGGUCAAAACUUUGAUUAUCCUCACUUUACAGUAUCUUAUUUUGUUUUCGAAAUGAGGAUCAAAGUUAUUAUGCAUAAUUAUAGAAUUGGUCUUAACAAGUAUUGAUUCAUAAAAAGAUUGGUUUUUGGAGAAAUUAUCAGGAAUAUAAAAAUGAGUUUUUGGGAAAAUAGAAUUGCAGAGUUGAUAGACAUUGAGAUUGGGAUUUUGUG